AUUUUAAUUUUUUAUUAGAAUUUUUAUUAUAAUGAUUUUGUUAAAGUAAAAAUGAUAUAAUUAGUAUUAAUUUGGUAAAUAAUUAUGUAGGAAUUCGGCAAUUAUAAAUUUUGUCUGUUUAAUAAAAACAUAUCUUUUUGUUAUUUAUUUAAAGUAUUACCUGCCCAAUGAUUUUUAUUAAAUGGCUGCGGUAUUUUAACUGUACGAAGGUAGCAUAAUCAUUUGUUUAAUAAUUUUAGACUUGAAUGAAGGGUUUUAUUAGAUUUAAUCUUUCUUUAUAUUAAUAUUAAGAAUUUAUUAUAUUAGUUAAAAAACUAAUAUUUUUUUAUAGGACGAGAAGACCCUAUAGAACUUAAUAUAUUAAUUAGUAAUAUAUUGUAUUGGGAAGAUAGAAAUCUUUUAUUUAACGAUUUUUUUAUUUUUCAUUAAUUUAUGAUUUAUUGAUCCAAUUUUUUUGAUUAUAAGAGUAAGUUACCUUAGGGAUAACAGCGUAAUUUAAUUGGAAAGCUCUUAUUGAAAAUUAAGUUUGCGACCUCGAUGUUGAAUUAAGAGUAAAAUUGGGGGUAGAUUUUUAUAUUUUUUGGUCUGUUCGACCAAUAAUUUCUUACAUGAUUUGAGUUUAGAUCGGUGUGAGCCAGAUCGGUUUCUAUCCUUAAUUUAUAUAUUGUUUUUUAGUACGAGAGGACCAAAAAUUUAAUUAAUAUGUU
Molecule: ribosomal RNA, 707 nt
Filed under: Hoplonannus sp. UCR ENT 00011947
Lineage: Eukaryota; Metazoa; Arthropoda; Insecta; Hemiptera; Schizopteridae
Description: partial large subunit ribosomal RNA
Rfam family: Bacterial large subunit ribosomal RNA (bases 330-652)
Source: RNAcentral